Molecule: ribosomal RNA, 623 nt
Filed under: Debaryomyces hansenii
Lineage: Eukaryota; Fungi; Ascomycota; Pichiomycetes; Serinales; Debaryomycetaceae
Description: LSU rRNA
Rfam family: Eukaryotic large subunit ribosomal RNA
Source: RNAcentral
UCCAGGACAGGUAAUGCCUUCGUUACGGCGAAGUGAAGCGGCAAAAGCUCCAAAUUUGAAAUCUGGCACCUUCGGUGUCCGAGUUGUAAUUUGAAGAAGGUAACUUUGGAGUUGGCUCUUGUCUAUGUUCCUUGGAACAGGACGUCACAGAGGGUGAGAAUCCCGUGCGAUGAGAUGCCCAAUUCUAUGUAAAGUGCUUUCGAAGAGUCGAGUUGUUUGGGAAUGCAGCUCUAAGUGGGUGGUAAAUUCCAUCUAAAGCUAAAUAUUGGCGAGAGACCGAUAGCGAACAAGUACAGUGAUGGAAAGAUGAAAAGAACUUUGAAAAGAGAGUGAAAAAGUACGUGAAAUUGUUGAAAGGGAAGGGCUUGAGAUCAGACUUGGUAUUUUGCGAUCCUUUCCUUCUUGGUUGGGUUCCUCGCAGCUUACUGGGCCAGCAUCGGUUUGGAUGGUAGGAUAAUGACUAAGGAAUGUGGCUCUACUUCGGUGGAGUGUUAUAGCCUUGGUUGAUACUGCCUGUCUAGACCGAGGACUGCGUCUUUUGACUAGGAUGUUGGCAUAAUGAUCUUAAGCCACCCGUCUGAAAAACGGACCAAACCAAACAUAGUGAGUAGAGUUUUCGUUAC